UGUCUUUUUGAAAAUAAUAUAAAGUCUAAUCUGCCCACUGAUUUUAUAUUAAAGGGCUGCAGUAUUUUGACUGUACAAAGGUAGCAUAAUCAUUAGUCAUUUAAUUGAUGACUUGUAUGAAAGAUUGGAUGAAAUAUAAACUGUCUCUUAAUUAUUAAUAUAAAACUUAAUUUUUUAAUUAAAAAGUUAAAAUAAUUUAAAAAGACGAGAAGACCCUAUAGAGUUUUAUAUUUAAAUUAAUUAAGAUUAUUUAAAAUUUAAAAUUAAAAUUAAUUUAUUUAUUAUAUUGGGGUGAUAGAAAAAUAUAUAUAACUUUUUUUAUAUAAAAACAUUUAUAAGUGAUUAAAUGAUCCAAUAAUAUUGAUUAUAAGAAAAAAUUACCUUAGGGAUAACAGCGUAAUUUUUUUUUUUAGUUCAUAUAAAAAAAAGAGUUUGCGACCUCGAUGUUGGAUUAAGAUAAAAUUUAAAUGUAGAAG
Molecule: ribosomal RNA, 476 nt
Filed under: Busseola sp. BUKEG2306
Lineage: Eukaryota; Metazoa; Arthropoda; Insecta; Lepidoptera; Noctuidae
Also listed under: 13 other names
Description: partial 16S large subunit ribosomal RNA
Source: RNAcentral